RNAcentral lists this ribosomal RNA (360 nucleotides) under uncultured bacterium. RNAcentral describes it as "bacterial SSU rRNA". It matches the Rfam family "Bacterial small subunit ribosomal RNA", at positions 527 to 891 of the family's 1533-position model. The record is from RNAcentral.
GGAGGAUCCAAGCGUUAUCCGGAAUCAUUGGGUUUAAAGGGUCCGUAGGCGGUUUGGUAAGUCAGUGGUGAAAGCCCAUCGCUCAACGGUGGAACGGCCAUUGAUACUGCCAGACUUGAAUUAUUGGGAAGUAACUAGAAUAUGUAGUGUAGCGGUGAAAUGCUUAGAGAUUACAUGGAAUACCAAUUGCGAAGGCAGGUUACUACCAAUUGAUUGACGCUGAUGGACGAAAGCGUGGGGAGCGAACAGGAUUAGAUACCCUGGUAGUCCACGCCGUAAACGAUGGAUACUAGCUGUUGGGAGCAAUUUCAGUGGCUAAGCGAAAGUGAUAAGUAUCCCACCUGGGGAGUACGGGCGCAA